RNAcentral lists this ribosomal RNA (1087 nucleotides) under Bacteroides graminisolvens. RNAcentral's name for it is "bacterial SSU rRNA". It matches the Rfam family "Bacterial small subunit ribosomal RNA", at positions 68 to 1153 of the family's 1533-position model. Lineage: Bacteria; Pseudomonadati; Bacteroidota; Bacteroidia; Bacteroidales; Bacteroidaceae. The record is from RNAcentral.
GGCAGCAUUGGAGUAGCAAUACUUCAGAUGGCGACCGGCGCACGGGUGAGUAACACGUAUCCAACCUGCCGCUUACUCGGGGAUAGCCUUUCGAAAGAAAGAUUAAUACCCGAUGGUAUAAAGAGUUCGCAUGUUCUCUUUAUUAAAGAAUUUCGGUAAGCGAUGGGGAUGCGUUCCAUUAGAUAGUUGGCGGGGUAACGGCCCACCAAGUCUACGAUGGAUAGGGGUUCUGAGAGGAAGGUCCCCCACAUUGGAACUGAGACACGGUCCAAACUCCUACGGGAGGCAGCAGUGAGGAAUAUUGGUCAAUGGACGAGAGUCUGAACCAGCCAAGUAGCGUGAAGGAUGACUGCCCUAUGGGUUGUAAACUUCUUUUAUAAGGGAAUAAAGUGAGGGACGUGUCCCUUUUUGUAUGUACCUUAUGAAUAAGGAUCGGCUAACUCCGUGCCAGCAGCCGCGGUAAUACGGAGGAUCCGAGCGUUAUCCGGAUUUAUUGGGUUUAAAGGGAGCGUAGGUUGACGUAUAAGUCAGCUGUGAAAGUUUACGGCUCAACCGUGAAAUUGCAGUUGAUACUGUAUGUCUUGAGUGUACAAGAGGUGGGCGGAAUUCGUGGUGUAGCGGUGAAAUGCUUAGAUAUCACGAAGAACUCCAAUUGCGAAGGCAGCUCACUGGGGUACAACUGACACUGAGGCUCGAAAGUGUGGGUAUCAAACAGGAUUAGAUACCCUGGUAGUCCACACAGUAAACGAUGAAUACUCGCUGUUUGCGAUAUACAGUAAGCGGCCAAGCGAAAGCAUUAAGUAUUCCACCUGGGGAGUACGCCGGCAACGGUGAAACUCAAAGGAAUUGACGGGGGCCCGCACAAGCGGAGGAACAUGUGGUUUAAUUCGAUGAUACGCGAGGAACCUUACCCGGGCUUGAAUUGCAGAGGAACAUAGUUGAAAGAUUAUGGCCGCAAGGUCUCUGUGAAGGUGCUGCAUGGUUGUCGUCAGCUCGUGCCGUGAGGUGUCGGCUUAAGUGCCAUAACGAGCGCAACCCUUAUCAUUAGUUACUAACAGGUCAUGCUGAGGACUCUAGUGAGACUGCC